This is a long non-coding RNA of Numida meleagris (helmeted guineafowl), 3065 nucleotides long. RefSeq lists it as uncharacterized. NCBI's taxonomy places the organism in Eukaryota, Metazoa, Chordata, Aves, Galliformes, Numididae. The record is from RefSeq and is a predicted model, not a curated record. The transcript is spliced from 4 exons.
CCCCCGCCCCCGCGAGAGGCCGCGCUGCGGCGGAGGCCUGGUCACGUCCCGCACGGAGCCGCCGCCGCGUGAGGGCGGCGCGGGGUGAGGAGCGGCCUGAGGCGCUGGGCCCGCUGCCCUCGGGCGGUGGGGGCAUACAGCGCGUCAUCGUGGGCCUCAGGACUCUGCGCUGAAAUGAAUCCCCUCUACAUUUCCAAUCUCAUCCAAAUGAAUGCUUCCAGGUGAUAUUUUACGCCAGUUGUACAGAAGGGGCGAAGACGUGCCCGCGGGAGGGCUGCAGAGCUGCUGCAGCGUGGGCGCCCAUCUGCGCGCGGCCGCACCGCGGCACCGACCCGCAGCACCGACCCGCAGCACUCAGCUGGGCCUGAGGGACCAAGAGCAGAACUAACAGCAUGCUUUUACAUGGCCCACACGGAUUCUUCAUUUACCAGAUAACUGUGGAAAACAGCCUUGUAAAGGGAUGCACUUUUCAGAAGUAUGGUUUGGGAGAAAAAUUUCUAGCCUCACGUGCUUGGAUAGUCAAUAAUGCACCGUAACGGACUGCACGUUGUGCGAGAAAGGUCAUGGUCUGAGGGCUUUUACCUCUAGGAGGGCUAGGGCUAACGUUUGCUGGAGGGUUGAUGUGUUGCUGUUCUCACUCAAUAGACACUUCUGAGGAAAUUCUGAUAGCAAGUCAAACGCUUGAUCUGUGCUGCUCUGCUCUUUGGUGACGGCAGAGCUAUGCUUGGAUGAACUACAGAACAGUGAAGGCCAGAGAAAACAAACCAAAAAAAAGUGUGCACUUACAAGAAACAAAACAUGAAGAUACGCAGAGAGUAAAACGAAUGCAUUUCCUCACGCGUGGACUGAAACAUCCUGUCUGCACCUGCACUGGAGAGAGCUCCUGUGAGAGUUGUCUGAAGGCUCCGAGAAGGCUGGACAGGCCUCAAGGCAGAAUCUUGCUGAGAACAACACUGAGAAUGAACAUGGAUUAACAAGACAACUGAAAUCUUUGGAAACGGUUUACACAGCCUUAAAGCACAAGCAGCUGCUCGAUAGCAUUCUGUUGGCCUUCAGGUGACUUGAUGCAAGCCCAGUUUUUCAGGGCAGAAAGAAAACGGUCCCAUUCUUAAGGAUCCUGACUAGGACUCAAAACCAAAAGCGCGUCUCGCAAUACGUUCAAUCUAUAAAUUGGAGUCAGCUUACUUGAGUAACCCAGCUCCUACUUCUGCAAGGGCAUCUCCAGCCAGCAUGCCGAUAAAGAACCAAGAAUUACAUUCUCUUCUCACCCGAAGAACCAACUGCAAGUAGACUAUGUUCGCUCUUAUGAAAUAAACCAGCAAUGGUACUUCUCUUGACAACCCAUCCAUUAAAAACACAGAACAAAAGCUAAAUGUGUUCCCGAAAAGAAACGCUUAAAAAUGUAACAGAUUAUACUGACCAUCUUCUCUUCUUAAAUUUCUCUCAAUGUUGGCUACGCAUGAAGCACACGUCAUUCCUGUGACUUGGACAUAGCACUUUGACAAGGUCUUGGACUCUUGUUUAGCAACAAAUUUCUGUAACAUCUUGGAGGUAGGCUCAGCAGACUCCAGCUGCUCUUUGGGUGUGGGUUGAGUUAUUCCCACAGGGAGAUCUGUCUUUUCUGAAGAAGAGAUUGAAAUUCAUGUCAUUACAAAUAGACAUUGCAAUUAACUAUGACCUGGUACUAUGUAAGGCAUUAAUACAUGUAAAUUUUCAGACAAAAAAGUCUGUUCUGCACCAGCAGCAGAGUAACUCUAAACCAAGCCAGGGCAGAAACGGAAAAUGAUUAAAUUUAGGCUAAGUUUAGAGUGUUGUGUUAUAAACAUAGCGUUGAUUUGUACUCUUGAAGUGGUACCAACCAAAAAUGGGUGAACUUUUUUUCCUAUCCUCAUGCCAGAGAAUAAAACUUUGACUAUUCUAAAAAUAAAGAGUCUGCAAUGUCAGUAUCAGUUGCUUUGAUGGAGUUGGUAAUUGAUGUAUGGUAUUACCAUGGAUAAAACUAUAUAAGUAAAAAAAAAAAUUCACAGAUCAUGGAAGCAUGCCAAAUCUGAAUUACUGCAUCAGAUAUAUUUUCACAAUUCUUGAGCCAUAAAAAAAACCCCAAUCUUGAUUAAUCUUUUCUAUAAAAAAAAGUCAUGGCCAUAUCUAACUGUCUUGUCCAAACAACAUUUCUCCGUCCAAUAAAGUGUCAAGAAACUGUAUUUAGGCCCAUAGGACAGUGAACACCAGUUAACAUUCAAAUCAUGGUAUCAUAUUCGCUGUGCGACUUUAUGACAGCUGCCUGUGUUUAAAAUCCUGCAUUCACAAAGGACAAAAUUUAAAAUGCUAAAUAAACUCGUUUUUAGGUUCACUUAUUUUUAUAACAGGUGAUAGUAGGUAGUGCCUAAGUAAUGCAGAAGUUUAACUAAGCUUUGGUUAGGUAAGUGUUUUAGCACACCUGACAGAAUUUUCAUUCAGGAUGUGACAUGUUUAAGGCAUUGCAAUGGGCUGCCCAGGAAUGUCCCCCAUUCCCAGAGGAAUCUAAGAGACACGCAGACGUGGCACUAAGGGACACGGUCUAGUGACGGAAAUCUGCAGGUCGGGUUGCUGGUUGGACUUGAAGAUUGUGAAGGUUUUUUCCAACUCAGAUGAUGUUUAGACCACUGGAACUUUAUGAUGGUUUUGUUACAAUUUUUCUUUUGCUUUUUCCUUAUUCAUCCAUCUUGUGGUACAUCCUUUAUCCUCUUUGAUAGGCUGCAGGCUAAACAUCUGCUUUGCAACCUUAGCUUUGCAUGUAAUUUUAUUGAUUUUACCUGAGGCACAAGGUGCACGCACGUUUUGUACAGAAAUUCAGUGUUUUUGGCCUUAGAGAAGGACUCUCAAGCCACAGACAGCUGCUUCUUGUAUCAAUUCCGAAGCCAUAUUUACGCAGGAGCAAUAUAAAAGGAAUUAAAUGUGAGUACUUGACUUUACUUCUUUGGUUAUUGAUAUAAAAUAUCUCGCUGUAUUUCUUAAAAUGUAAUCUUAGUGAAUUAAAAAAAUGGAGCUUCGCUGUUCCUCAAGAAGACUCUUCCCAUUAAUACUCA